Molecule: long non-coding RNA, 461 nt
Organism: Girardinichthys multiradiatus
Lineage: Eukaryota; Metazoa; Chordata; Actinopteri; Cyprinodontiformes; Goodeidae
Exons: 3
Source: RefSeq, a predicted model, not a curated record
CUGAGAUUUUGCUCAGAUUGUGUUAGACACACUGGAGAGUUUAGAGCUGACGGGUGUUUCCGCUAAUAGCCUGGAAUAUCUUGUCAAAUUCGAUAAAGAAUCUUGGAGAUUGAAAGCUUCCCUUGUGAACGGCUGAAGUCGUGUAGCAUCGAAGCAUCGGUCAGGUUUUUUGAUUAUAGUGCACUUUUGGCCUGUGGUGCCUUGAAACCACCAGAUCAUCCUCUCCUGAACUUGGAUGGCGAGCCCCAGCCCAGAGCACCGAGUGAACUGGUAGAUUGUGAUCCGACUGGUCACUGGCUGUGAGACAUUGAAUGAAUAUUUGACAGUUGUAUCGAAAAGACUGGGUUAUUUAUGUUAUUUUAUUUUGUUGUUUUUUUCAAAAAACAAAGCGUGCAAUUUUUGUUUAUUUGUAAAUGUGGGUCCACAAAUGUUCACUAUAUUAAACCCUACUCUUUUUCAUA